AACGCGAAGAACCUUACCUGGGCUUGAACCGCUACUGACCAACGGUAGAAAUAUCGUCUUCCCGCAAGGGACAGUAGUAGAGGUGCUGCAUGGCUGUCGUCAGCUCGUGCCGUGAGGUGUUGGGUUAAGUCCCGCAACGAGCGCAACCCUUACUCGUAGUUGCUACCCGCAAGGGAGAACUCUACGAGGACUGCUCCGGAUAACGGAGAGGAAGGUGGGGAUGACGUCAAGUCAGCACGGCCUUUAUGUCCAGGGCUACACACGUGUUACAAUGCAUGGUACAGACUGUUGCGAACCCGCGAGGGGGAGCUAAUCGGACAAAGCCAUGCUCAGUUCGGAUUGCAGUCUGCAACUCGGCUGCAUGAAGCUGGAAUCGCUAGUAAUGGCGUAUCAGAUCGACGCCGUGAAUACGUUCCCGGGCCUUGUA
RNAcentral lists this ribosomal RNA (427 nucleotides) under uncultured Acidobacteriota bacterium. Its description in RNAcentral is "bacterial SSU rRNA". It matches the Rfam family "Bacterial small subunit ribosomal RNA", at positions 958 to 1385 of the family's 1533-position model. The record is from RNAcentral. Lineage: Bacteria; Pseudomonadati; Acidobacteriota.